AUGAACGCUAGCGGCAGGCUUAACACAUGCAAGUCGAGGGGUAUGCCGAUUUAUCGGCAGAGACCGGCGCACGGGUGCGUAACGCGUAUGCAAUCUACCUUCACAGAGGGAUAGCCCAGAGAAAUUUGGAUUAAUACCUCAUAGUAUAGCAGUUUCGCAUGAAACCACUAUUAAAGUCACAACGGUGAAAGAUGAGCAUGCGUCCCAUUAGCGAGUUGGUAAGGUAACGGCUUACCAAGGCAACGAUGGGUAGGGGUCCUGAGAGGGAGAUCCCCCACACUGGUACUGAGACACGGACCAGACUCCUACGGGAGGCAGCAGUGAGGAAUAUUGGACAAUGGGCGCAAGCCUGAUCCAGCCAUGCCGCGUGCAGGAUGACGGUCCUAUGGAUUGUAAACUGCUUUUGUACAGGAAGAAACACUACUUCGUGAAGUAGCUUGACGGUACUGUAAGAAUAAGCACCGGCUAACUACGUG
RNAcentral lists this ribosomal RNA (476 nucleotides) under uncultured bacterium. Its description in RNAcentral is "bacterial SSU rRNA". It matches the Rfam family "Bacterial small subunit ribosomal RNA", at positions 29 to 507 of the family's 1533-position model. The record is from RNAcentral.